Long non-coding RNA from Phycodurus eques (leafy seadragon), 1345 nucleotides. RefSeq lists it as uncharacterized. Lineage: Eukaryota; Metazoa; Chordata; Actinopteri; Syngnathiformes; Syngnathidae. The transcript has 8 exons. The record is from RefSeq and is a predicted model, not a curated record.
CUCCGGACAAGCUUCGACUAACGUGGCUGUGAGAACCAGUACAGUAUUGCAACAAUCGUCACGAAUCGCAUGUUUUCUUCUCGAGAAUUACAAUGAAAGAAAUCAUUCAUGAAGGUUUCCUGAUGACAUCCAGUUUGUCUGUUAAGGACCAAGAAUCCCAGAUCGGCGAUGGGUGACUGAUAAAAGUUUACUCCCCUGCGUGUCAUCACCACCACAGUACUGUUGGAACUCUUUGGAACAGCAAACAGAGUAAUGGUUGCAUGUUUCUUAAUCGUGUCAAAAGGCCUUCUGUUGAGUUUGCCAAAAACUCAAAGGAUGACGGGUACACUAGGCAGUAGGGCAACAAACAUUUGUGCCAUCGCAUGACUGAAUGCACAAAUUGAAAAUUUGAAAUUUUUUUUUUGCAACCAGAGCCAACAAUCCUAAAGAAUCGUCUUGUCGCCCCUGACUGUCCGUCAUUGCUUUUGUCGUACAAGUGACGUUUGUCACCUUUUGACGUCUAUGGCGGAUGAGCACGACUCCUCUACUACGUAUUAGAUUUAUGUUCACAUAGAAAAGAGGUUUCUUGCUUUUGCAAGAUGAGCCAAAAGUACUUUGAGCUUAGGUUGGUCACAUUUUUAAAAAUGCUUAGGAAAGGUGCCUCGAUUGCCACCUUUAUAGCAAAGGUUACUCCUGACCAACCUUUAUGAAAAGGGAGAGAUAUUAAAAGUGGAGUUAAAUUAAUUGCUGGCCUUAUCCAUGUUCGAAAGCGCGCACCUUUUCAUCUCUCCCUAACCUGAUGAACAACAAAGGUUACGACAAGGUGGCGUAAAGGUUUGAUUUGUUUUUCCGAAAAGGUCCUAAGAUUAGCUGGAAUCUUAAAAGCAUAAAAAAAAAAUUAAAAAAAACUUGGAGGCUAUGUAAGUAAUUACAUUUUAAUCAAAUACAAGUAUUUCAUUUUUUUUUUUUUUAAAUGAAAUUUUUCAUCAUGCUACGACAGCAACAGAUCGGUGUCAGUUUAAACCGAGUUGUGUUGUUGUUCUGCCCAGUGUACCCACAAUGCUUUGGGUUUUAUUUCAGAGAUUGGCCAAGUCCGUACCAGAUGUAGUCAUGUUCAUGGUGUCCAAAUGGCUGCAAUGGGGCAAGGUUCCUAUGCAAGCUCCCGGAAGGAUACGGCGUCUUUCAGCGAUCAACUUUUAUCUCCCCCAACCUCCAAAACAGCUAAUUGUGAGGCACUCGACUUGCAGGCUGCAGUAGAUUUUGAAAAGGUGCUGAGACGACUUUUGGGUGUUUUCUUGAGCCAGCCAUGUUGUCAACUGUUCCAUUCAUUUUGAAGUCAAAUAAAUUUGAGUCUGCCUUAAAAUGG